RNAcentral lists this ribosomal RNA (497 nucleotides) under uncultured soil bacterium. RNAcentral describes it as "bacterial SSU rRNA". It matches the Rfam family "Bacterial small subunit ribosomal RNA", at positions 26 to 507 of the family's 1533-position model. The record is from RNAcentral.
AGAUUGAACGCUAGCGGGAUGCUUUACACAUGCAAGUCGAACGGCAGCGCGGACUUCGGUCUGGCGGCGAGUGGCGAACGGGUGAGUAAUAUAUCGGAACGUGCCCAGUAGCGGGGGAUAACUACGCGAAAGCGUGGCUAAUACCGCAUACGCCCUACGGGGGAAAGGGGGGAUCGCAAGACCUCUCACUAUUGGAGCGGCCGAUAUCAGAUUAGCUAGUUGGUGAGGUAAAGGCUCACCAAGGCGACGAUCUGUAGCUGGUUUGAGAGGACGACCAGCCACACUGGGACUGAGACACGGCCCAGACUCCGUACGGGAGGCAGCAGUGGGAAUUUGGACAAUGGGCGCAAGCCUGAUCCAGCAGUGCCGCGUGCAGGAAGAAGGCCGUUCGGUUGUAAACGUGUACUUUUGUACGGUAACGAAACGGUCCGUAGGUUAAUACCGUAGGUCGUAAGUGACGGUAACCGUAAGAAGUAAGACGACCGACUAACUACGUA